RNAcentral lists this ribosomal RNA (253 nucleotides) under uncultured bacterium. RNAcentral's name for it is "partial 16S ribosomal RNA". It matches the Rfam family "Bacterial small subunit ribosomal RNA", at positions 524 to 776 of the family's 1533-position model. The record is from RNAcentral.
UACAGAGGGUGCGAGCGUUAAUCGGAAUUACUGGGCGUAAAGCGCACGUAGUCGGCUUUGCAAGUCGGUUGUGAAAUCCCCGGGCUCAACCUGGGAACUGCAUCCGAGACUGCAUUGCUAGAGUAUGGGAGAGGAAAGCGGAAUUUCUGGUGUAGCAGUGAAAUGCGUAGAUAUCGGAAGGAACAUCAGUGGCGAAAGCGACUUCCUGGACCAAUACUGACGCUCAUGUGCGAAAGCGUGGGGAGCAAACAGG